This 228-nucleotide long non-coding RNA is filed under the name Homo sapiens (human). RNAcentral describes it as "IQCH antisense RNA 1". The record is from RNAcentral. Lineage: Eukaryota; Metazoa; Chordata; Mammalia; Primates; Hominidae.
UGAGCUGCGCGAGGCGGAGGGUCACCUGCGUCAAGGAGCUGGUUUUGAGUGGCCAGGUACGGAGUCUCACUCUGUUGCCCAGGCUGGAGUGCAGUGGUGCAAUCUCAGCUCACUGCAACCUCUGCCUCCCAGAGACGGGGUUUCACCAUGUUGGCCAGGCUGGUCUCAAACUCAUGACCUCGUGAUCCACCUGCCUCGGCCUCCCAAAGUGCUGGGAUUACAGGCGUG